AUGCUCACUUCAGCUGCACAAAUAUUAAAGUUGGAAUGAUACAGAGAUUAGCAUGGCACCUGUGCAAGGAUGACAAGCAAAUUCAUGAGCAUUCCAUAUUUUUU
This 104-nucleotide small nuclear RNA is filed under the name Salvator merianae (Argentine black and white tegu). The record is from RNAcentral. Lineage: Eukaryota; Metazoa; Chordata; Lepidosauria; Squamata; Teiidae.